RNAcentral lists this long non-coding RNA (1932 nucleotides) under Homo sapiens (human). Its description in RNAcentral is "HSALNT0387930". Lineage: Eukaryota; Metazoa; Chordata; Mammalia; Primates; Hominidae. The record is from RNAcentral.
AGAAAAGAUAGAUGGUAAAUAGAUAGAUAGAUGAUAGAUAAAGAAAAUACAUAGCUGUUCCAGAAAACAGAAAUGGAUAACUUCAUGAACCAAAAGCAGAGUAAUAUACUUUAGAAAGGAAGCAGGCCGGAAAACCCACAGUUGCAAAACAAAUAGAAUUUCCAACUGCCUCUUGUAGCCCCUUCCUGGAAGUAGUCACAGCCCGGGGUGUUCAACUUCUUCCUCUGUUUUUUGUUUGUUUGUUGUUUGCUUUUCUGUGGGGUUUUUGUUGUUGUUGUUUGCUUUUAAAAAAAAAAUUCCCUUUCCCUGCUUUUUUGUCACAGCAGCCUUUGUCACUUCAAACACCGCAAGUGUUCUUUAAAAAAAAUUAUAUCAACCUUUCAAUUCAAAUGCAACAUGUCUGAAACUUGGUAUCUGGAGAGGUGAGUUGGACAAAGGAGCCCUUGUUACUGCACGUUUUCAUUCUUCAAAUUUCACCUUGCACGCAGUAACAGACAGUGCACAAAGCCACUUCCUUAUGGACGGAAAUUCUGAAAUCCUUUUAUGCCUGGCCUUUCCAUCCUUCAACUUCCCCUCUCCCACGCUGUGAAUGAUUGUAUUGGACAUUUUUGUUUUAAUGUCAGUGACAGGGGAACACAGGUAGCUCUAAUAUAGCUGUGACCCAGAUGCUUCUGUUUCUAGCAUGUAUUUAUUUUGUAGCAAACAUUUACAUCCAUGAUGUUUCACUGUCUUUUGAAAAUAAUUAGGCAAUAUCUCAUCUGAGGUAGGAUGUUUCUAGGGGUUGUGUUCUGAGGGAGGAAAACUAAUCUGUUCUCUUUCCACUGCAUUCUAGGAACAGUAAGAGGACCUUGUGCAUGAAUAAUUUGUUUCCACACUACAGAGUGGCAGAAGAAUCCCAGACUUCUUAGAGAACCCAGUGACUUUUUGCACCUUAAAUCUGUGAAAUCCUUAUGUUUUCUUCUGCUGUAUCCAUAGUUCAAACAAAGAUGAGGCAAAGCUAGACGCAUUCCUGAAGGAACCCAAGAAAUUCCUCUCUUUCUUUCUCUGGAAUGAAAUGAAUUCUCUAGACCACCAGUUCUAACCUUCAAAAACCAAACCUGUUUGUGAGAUCUCCUUCAAAUACUACUGUAGACCCCAGUGUUUAUUCAUUAAAUUUUUUAAAUAUUUGUUUUAUUUGGAAUCCAUGUAUUUGUAAUUUUAGUGUUUGUAUUAAUAUCAGGGAGAAAUGUUUAAAUCUGUCUUAUGCCAUAUGUGCCUCUGGCUUAUUGCCCAAUUAAUUGUAGUCUCAGGCUAAACUUUGGUUUCUGUCUUUAAUUUUUGUCAGAAGAAAUAUAACUGAUCUCAAAACAUCUGCUUUUAUUGUAGGGGCUUGUGCUGCCGUCUCCAUUCUUCUCUCUUUUCUUGCAAUCUGGGUGGAAGUUCUUUAAUAUGAACAUUUCAACCACCUUCAUUCUACCAUGUCCACUAUCAGCACAUUCAAACUGAUCCAGCCAAGGCUGUCAUCUUAGGCCAGGGAUUUUUUAGGAAUCUAUUUUGCUGUGAUGCGGCUGGCACCCCUUUGACUCACUGUAUCACCCCAGGGUUCUUUUCAUUUCAGAAGCCCAAGAGGGCAGAAAAAGAAGUAGGUGAGCAAUUAAACACUCUGAGUCAGGAGUGUCUCCCCUUGCGUUAAGCAAUGUUGUAGAACAUCGAUGUUCUACAUCGAUGUUGGCAACCUUGGUACCAUUUUGUCCACCUGAUUGGAAAAGCCAGUCAAUAAUUUCAGGUCACUGUUGGCCUUAGAAGAAGAGCCCAAAGGCAACAAGCAAAGGCGCUGGUGUCCAGUCGCCUUCUAGAAGCAUUUUCACUUUCCCUUAAGGUUUCCCUUGAUGAACAUAGAAGUACUGUAUGUAGAAUUGACCCAGUGCUGCCCUGGCAACUUUGUAUAUUAGG